This 569-nucleotide ribosomal RNA is filed under the name uncultured archaeon. Its description in RNAcentral is "bacterial SSU rRNA". It matches the Rfam family "Archaeal small subunit ribosomal RNA", at positions 327 to 900 of the family's 1478-position model. The record is from RNAcentral.
GGGGUGCAGCAGGCGCGAAAACUUUACAAUGCUGGCAACAGCGAUAAGGGGACCUUGAGUGCCCGGAUACAAUCCUGGCGGUCGUGAUGCCUAAAAAGCCUUAUAUAGCAAGGGCCGGGCAAGACCGGUGCCCGCCGCCGCGGUAACACCGGCGGCUCGAGUGGUAACCGCUAUUAUUGGGUUUAAAGGGUCCGUAGCCGGCUUGGUUAGUUUCCUGGGAAAUCCGGCAGUUUAACGGUCGGGCUUUCAGGAGAUACCGCCAGGCUCGAGACCGGGAGAGGUGAGAGGUACUUCAUGGGUAGGGGUGAAAUCUUGUAAUCCCUGAAGGACCACCAGUGGCGAAGGCGUCUCACCAGAACGGAUCUGACGGCAAGGGACGAAAGCUAGGGGCACGAACCGGAUUAGAUACCCGGGUAGUCCUAGCCGUAAACGAUACUCGCUAGGUGUCGGCUCACGGCUGCGACCGUGGUCGGUGCCGUAGGGAAGCCGUGAAGCGAGCCACCUGGGAAGUACGGCCGCAAGGCUGAAACUUAAAGGAAUUGGCGGGGGAGCACAAGGGCGAAUCGCGG